Molecule: ribosomal RNA, 1156 nt
Filed under: Salmonella enterica subsp. enterica
Lineage: Bacteria; Pseudomonadati; Pseudomonadota; Gammaproteobacteria; Enterobacterales; Enterobacteriaceae
Also listed under: 1 other name
Description: bacterial SSU rRNA
Rfam family: Bacterial small subunit ribosomal RNA
Source: RNAcentral
AAGAGUUUGAUCAUGGCUCAGAUUGAACGCUGGCGGCAGGCCUAACACAUGCAAGUCGAACGGUAACAGGAAGCAGCUUGCUGCUUUGCUGACGAGUGGCGGACGGGUGAGUAAUGUCUGGGAAACUGCCUGAUGGAGGGGGAUAACUACUGGAAACGGUGGCUAAUACCGCAUAACGUCGCAAGACCAAAGAGGGGGACCUUCGGGCCUCUUGCCAUCAGAUGUGCCCAGAUGGGAUUAGCUUGUUGGUGAGGUAACGGCUCACCAAGGCGACGAUCCCUAGCUGGUCUGAGAGGAUGACCAGCCACACUGGAACUGAGACACGGUCCAGACUCCUACGGGAGGCAGCAGUGGGGAAUAUUGCACAAUGGGCGCAAGCCUGAUGCAGCCAUGCCGCGUGUAUGAAGAAGGCCUUCGGGUUGUAAAGUACUUUCAGCGGGGAGGAAGGUGUUGUGGUUAAUAACCGCAGCAAUUGACGUUACCCGCAGAAGAAGCACCGGCUAACUCCGUGCCAGCAGCCGCGGUAAUACGGAGGGUGCAAGCGUUAAUCGGAAUUACUGGGCGUAAAGCGCACGCAGGCGGUCUGUCAAGUCGGAUGUGAAAUCCCCGGGCUCAACCUGGGAACUGCAUUCGAAACUGGCAGGCUUGAGUCUUGUAGAGGGGGGUAGAAUUCCAGGUGUAGCGGUGAAAUGCGUAGAGAUCUGGAGGAAUACCGGUGGCGAAGGCGGCCCCCUGGACAAAGACUGACGCUCAGGUGCGAAAGCGUGGGGAGCAAACAGGAUUAGAUACCCUGGUAGUCCACGCCGUAAACGAUGUCUACUUGGAGGUUGUGCCCUUGAGGCGUGGCUUCCGGAGCUAACGCGUUAAGUAGACCGCCUGGGGAGUACGGCCGCAAGGUUAAAACUCAAAUGAAUUGACGGGGGCCCGCACAAGCGGUGGAGCAUGUGGUUUAAUUCGAUGCAACGCGAAGAACCUUACCUGGUCUUGACAUCCACAGAACUUUCCAGAGAUGGACUGGUGCCUUCGGGAACUGUGAGACAGGUGCUGCAUGGCUGUCGUCAGCUCGUGUUGUGAAAUGUUGGGUUAAGUCCCGCAACGAGCGCAACCCUUAUCCUUUGUUGCCAGCGAUUAGGUCGGGAACUCAAAGGAGACUGCC